GUUGAUCCCGCCGGACCCGACUGCUAUUUGGGUGAGGAUAAGCCAUGCGAGUUGAAUGGGAAAUCUAAAAAUCCCAUGGCAAACUGCUCAGUAACACAUGAUUAACUUACCCUAUAGAGGAAAAUAACCUCGGGAAACUGAGGAUAAUGUUCCAUAGUUGAAUCGGCUUGGAAAAGUUUUUCAAUAAAAGGGAUAAGAAAAAUGGUUCUUAUCUGCUAUAGGAUAGGAUCGUGCUCGAUUAUGGUUGUUGGUGAGGUAAAGACUCACCAAGCCGAUAAUCGAUAGGGGCCGUGAGAGCGGGAGCCCCGAGAUGGGUACUGAGACAACGACCCAGGCCUUACGAGGCGCAGCAGGCGCGAAACCUCCGCAAUACACGAAAGUGUGACGGGGUUACCCAAAGUGUUCUAUUUAGAACUGUGGUAGGUGAGUAAUGUUCCCUACUAGAAAGGAGAGGGCAAGGCUGGUGCCAGCCGCCGCGGUAAAACCAGCUCUUCAAGUAGUCGGGAUAAUUAUUGGGCUUAAAGUGUCCGUAGCCGGUUUAGUAAGUUCCUGGUAAAAUCGGGUAGCUUAACUAUCUAUAUGCAAGGAAUACUGCUAUACUAGAGGGUGGGAGAGGUCUGAGGUACUACAGGGGUAGGAGUGAAAUCUUAUAAUCCUUGUAGGACCACCAGUGGCGAAGGCGUCAGACUGGAACGCGCCUGACGGUGAGGGACGAAAGCCAGGGGAGCGAACCGGAUUAGAUACCCGGGUAGUCCUGGCCGUAAACGAUGCAUACUAGGUGAUGGCACGGCCAUGAGCCGUGUCAGUGCCGUAGGGAAACCGUUAAGUGUGCCGCCUGGGAAGUACGGUCGCAAGGCUAAAACUUAAAGGAAUUGGCGGGGGAGCACCACAAGGGUGAAGCCUGCGGUUUAAUUGGAUUCAACGCCGGAAAUCACUAGUGCGGCCGCCUG
RNAcentral lists this ribosomal RNA (950 nucleotides) under uncultured archaeon. RNAcentral describes it as "bacterial SSU rRNA". It matches the Rfam family "Archaeal small subunit ribosomal RNA", at positions 7 to 945 of the family's 1478-position model. The record is from RNAcentral.